Molecule: ribosomal RNA, 499 nt
Filed under: uncultured bacterium
Lineage: Bacteria
Description: bacterial SSU rRNA
Rfam family: Bacterial small subunit ribosomal RNA
Source: RNAcentral
AAGACAGGUGGUGCAUGGUUGUCGUCAGCUCGUGUCGUGAGAUGUUGGGUUAAGUCCCGCAACGAGCGCAACCCUUAUCUUCAGUAGCCAGCAGGUAAAGCCGGGCACUCUGGAGAGACUGCCGGGGAUAACCCGGAGGAAGGUGGGGAUGACGUCAAAUCAUCAUGCCCCUUAUGAUUUGGGCUACACACGUGCUACAAUGGCGUAAACAGAGGGAAGCGAGCCCGCGAGGGGGAGCAAAUCCCAAAAAUAACGUCCCAGUUCGGAUUGUAGUCUGCAACCCGACUACAUGAAGCUGGAAUCGCUAGUAAUCGCGGAUCAGAAUGCCGCGGUGAAUACGUUCCCGGGUCUUGUACACACCGCCCGUCACACCAUGGGAGUCGGAAAUGCCCGAAGUCUGUGACCUAACCGUAAGGGAGGAGCAGCCGAAGGCAGGUCGGAUGACUGGGGUGAAGUCGUAACAAGGUAGCCGUAUCGGAAGGUGCGGCUGGAUCACCUC